Molecule: ribosomal RNA, 1433 nt
Filed under: uncultured bacterium
Lineage: Bacteria
Description: 16S ribosomal RNA
Rfam family: Bacterial small subunit ribosomal RNA
Source: RNAcentral
AGAGUUUGAUCAUGGCUCAGAUCGUACGCUGGCGGCACGCCUAACACAUGCAAGUCGAACGAAGUAGCAAUACUUAGUGGCAGACGGGUGAGUAACAUGUGGGUAUCUGCCCUUUGGCCUGGAAUAACACGAGGAAACUUGUGCUAACACCGGAUAAGUCUUUACGGAGAAAGCUUUAUGCACCAUUGGAUGAGCCUGCACUUGAUUAGUUUGUUGGUGGGGUAAUGGCCUACCAAGACUGUGAUCAAUAGCUGAUUUGAGAGGAUGAUCAGCCACAUUGGGACUGAGACACGGCCCAAACUCCUACGGGAGGCAGCAGUGGGGAAUCUUGCACAAUGGAGGAAACUCUGAUGCAGCGAUGCCGCGUGAGUGAAGAAGGCCCUUGGGUUGUAAAGCUCUUUCGUCGGGGAAGAAAAUGACUGUACCCGAAUAAGAAGGUCCGGCUAACUUCGUGCCAGCAGCCGCGGUAAUACGAAGGGACCUAGCGUAGUUCGGAAUUACUGGGCUUAAAGAGUACGUAAGUGGUUGAAAAAGUUAGUGGUGAAAUCCCAGAGCUUAACUCUGGAACUGCCAUUAAAACUUUCAAGCUAGAGUAUGAUAGAGGAAAGCAGAAUUUCUAGUGUAGAGGUGAAAUUCGUAGAUAUUAGAAAGAAUACCAAUUGCGAAGGCAGCUUUCUGGAUCAUUACUGACACUGAGGAACGAAAGCAUGGGUAGCGAAGAGGAUUAGAUACCCUCGUAGUCCAUGCCGUAAACGAUGUGUGUUAGACGUUGGAAAUUUAUUUUCAGUGUCGCAGCGAAAGCGAUAAACACACCGCCUGGGGAGUACGACCGCAAGGUUAAAACUCAAAUGAAUUGACGGGGACCCGCACAAGUAGUGGAGCAUGUGGUUUAAUUCGAAGAUACGCGCAGAACCUUACCAACACUUGACAUGUUCGUCGCGACUCUAAGAGAUUAGAGUUUUCGGUUCGGCCGGACGAAACACAGGUGCUGCAUGGCUGUCGUCAGCUCGUGUCGUGAGAUGUUGGGUUAAGUCCCGCAACGAGCGCAACCCUCACUUUUAGUUGCCAUCAUUAAGUUGGGCACUCUGAAAGAACUGCCAGUGAUAAGCUGGAGGAAGGUGGGGAUGACGUCAAGUCCUCAUGGCCCUUACGUGUUGGGCUACACACGUGCUACAAUGGUAUCUACAACAGGAAGCAAGACUGCGAGGUCAAGCAAAUCCUUAAAAGAUACCUCAGUUCGGAUUGCACUCUGCAACUCGAGUGCAUGAAGCUGGAAUUACUAGUAAUCGUGGAUCAGCGUGCCACGGUGAAUGCGUUCCCGGGUCUUGUACACACCGCCCGUCACACCAUGGGAGUUGGUUCUACCUUAAGGCAAGGUUUCAAACCUUUGACCACGGUAUAGUCAGCGACUGGGGUGAAGUCGUAACAAGGUA